RNAcentral lists this long non-coding RNA (1395 nucleotides) under Dromaius novaehollandiae (emu). RNAcentral describes it as "lncRNA (ENSDNVG00000003935.1)". The record is from RNAcentral. Lineage: Eukaryota; Metazoa; Chordata; Aves; Casuariiformes; Dromaiidae.
CAUGCCGAUCCUCCUGCGGAGCGUGGGGACCCACCGGAGCGCACGGCCGCUGGGAGGGCUGGGACUGAACGAGGGAAACACCAGGGAAUGAAAGCAAGAGCAUUUCUGCAGGGCGUCCCAGGGCAGAGCCCACAGAUGGGGAAACUGAGGCACGGAGCGGGGCAGGCGUGUGAGUGGCGCUGAGCCCUGGCCCCYGCUCUCAGCACAGGUUUCCGUAGCCGUGCCGACACGGCCGCCUCGGCGGGCCGCGCGCAGGGGGAGGCGGGCAGGCUGCGGCACGAUAAGGUGAGUACACACGCGCUGCCGGGGAUCAAAGGGCCGGGCUGGCGCCGCCGGGCUCGCGGGGAGCCCCGUCCCCGUGCACGCUGGGCCCUCGGGGGGACGUCGAGCGGUGCCCGGCCUGCCGCCAGCUCCGGGGCGGCCACCCCGCAGCGCGCCGGGGUGGUCCCCGGCACCGCCUGCCGCAACGCCCUGCUCCCAAAAGCACCGGCUGCCGGGGCCGGGACGUGCCUGGGCAGCACCUCUGUGCACCGCCCGGCCCCGCCGCCCCGGCACGCUCGCCUCCCGCCCCGGCACGCUCGCCUCCCGCGCGGCCUCUCCUGGCCGUGCCCUGCGCGGAUCCACCUCCAGCCGGGACGUGGCGGGAGGUCGGCGCAGCCCUCCCGGCGAAGGCGCUUGUUUUCCCAGCGCCUCACUCCGCUCUUUUCCCUUCGCCGGCUCCUCGUCCACCGCRGGUCUGUCCUGGGUCCCGCCGCGCGGUGCGAGGAGCCAGCGCCUUGCACGUCCCCUCCGCCCCGCGCCGGCGCUGCCCCGCUCUCGGCUUGCUCAGCCCGCGACUCGCAGCCUCUCCUAGGGCUGCCGCCGCUCGUUACGGCUUAUUUUGCGCAGGUAUUCAGGCGAUUUGGGGGUUAUUGCACAGGGUCAGUGCCAAGCACCCAGCGCGGGGUCCCGGGGGGGCCGGGAGCGGGGYGGCGGUGAGCACCGGGCUGCUCCGGGUGCAGGGACCCCCAGCCCGGCCCACGGGAAAGCAGCAUCGGCGGCAGACGUGCCGCCUUCGUGGCGCCCCGGGCCGGCGUCGYGGCUGCGGGAGGGACCCUGAGCCGUUCCUGCCGACACGUUCGCGGCUGCGAGCCACGGAGGGGAGCGGAGGUGACGGUGGGGACUGCUCAGGAAGGGAGCAAACAUCCCCAAAGGUCCCACCGCAGCCGAGCGGUGCCGGGGGGGGCCCCGCAUCCCUGGGGGCCCGGCGGCUCCGGAGAGGGGCCCGGCCGCCGCUGCCGCAUGCGCUGCCCCRGAGGCGUUCUCGCCCGGCGCUGACUCAGAGGGAGCAGCGCNNNNNNNNNNNNNNNNNNNNNNNNNNNNNNNNNNNNNNNNNNNNNNNNNNNNNNNNNNNNN